UUUCCUGGUAGGCAACUGUAUAUUUAUUUUUUUUAACCAGCCGUGUUACAGGCACUGUUUGGAAAAAAGCAUUUAGGGUACGUAUUUAAUUAAAAGUUAAAAAAAAUCUCUCUGUGUAACAUCCUUCUGUGUAAAUAUCUCAUGUUACAACGUGGACACCUGCGGCUUAUAGACAAGUGCGGCCUAUAUAUGUACAAAUUUAUUUUUUUAAAGUUAGUGGGUGCGGCUUAUAUUCAGGUGAGCUCAGUAGUCCGAAAAUUACGGUAAUCUUUAGAAUUAAUAUAAUAGCACUCAAGAGUGAGCAGUUGGCUUAUUUUCACUUUGGUUAUUUGUUUUCCUACAUUACCCACAAGUUCUGGUAGUUGCGCUAAUGGGAGUUAUGGUGCGUUCGUGGUGCCUCGUAUGUGGUAAUCUGCAAGUUGUAAUAACAUCACUUCCUCCCCAAGGCAUGCACAAAGUGAGAAAACAGGAACAUUCAUGAACGCGUCUUGUCUUUGCUCUGUCAGAGCAUGUGAAGCUAAUAAAAAGCUAUCGCAGUACAGAACCAACAGCAGACAAUAGUGAGUAGCUUAGCAACUAGCUAAAAUCAACUCUAAUGUUGAUGAUGAUGAUGAUGAUGAUGAUCAUUUCAAAACAGCGAUUAGUAUGGUCAGUGUUAUAGAUUUAACCAAGUACUGUGUCUGUAUUUUAAUUGAUCUAAAGCCAAAAUACCAUGUUGACCCGACGUAGUGCCGUAAAACAGGAAGGAAAUGGUAGUUGAGAAGACGACCAAGUUGACGAGUUUAAACAGCACGUAGGUGGGAAGUUGCAUUCCUGCCUUCAGCACAGCAUUAACCCUUGCGUCAUCUCUACCAAAAAAGAAUCAUGCAGCAGCAUUUUUCAACUUUCAUGCUAAUACCGCAAUCAAUGCCAACAUGCUUGACAUCAUAUAGAUCAUAAUUCAGUGAGUCUACAUUGUAUUCUAUUCAGUGUUCGUUGUCUUUUCUACUUCUAGAUUGCAUUUUGCAUUAAUAUGACCUUUGCUGGAAAAUGGUGAGAAAAGAAGCUCUCAGUCUUGCUGUUAAGAGCAUCUGGUUUGAUAUGGUUGAUUUUUGCUUAUAUUAAAUUCUAUUAUAACUCUGCAAUCAAUGUCUCCUUGUGAUGUCGGUGUGGCACACACAGGAAUAACGAAAAUACAGAAAGCACCAACCAACAAAUUAGCACCAGAAAAACUAAACAGUAGGUAGAAUUACUUUUUUUUAUUAUUAUUUUUUUAAACAUUAAGUCUCGAUUCAACAAUUUGAUUAGAAUGAUUCCCACCCAUGUUCAUGAAGCUCCGCCCCAGGAUCUUCAGAGACACAUAGAGUAUGAAUCAUUAACAGAAUCAAACAUGAAUCAAAGGCUGAAUUUCUAUGUACAAAUGUAUAGUAAGUACCACAGCAAACACCAACAGCAAAAAAAAUAAAAGAACAUUCCACAUAUAUACACACAGCAAUAAAAGGUCAUUUCCUGAAUCAAAAUAGUCAAUUCUAAACACUGCAACUUAAUCCAAAUGCUUUAGCUCUCCUUAGGUAACUACAGUCUUACAGCAACAAACAGAAGAGCAGAAAAAUGCAGAAUCAAGCCAACCCUUCCUGCCACUCAAGAUUCGGGGAAAUUCAGUCUGAGUGAAUGAAUAUCUUGGCACUCAACCACAUCCUGGUUAGAAC
This is a long non-coding RNA of Ictalurus punctatus (channel catfish), 1688 nucleotides long. The record is from Ensembl. NCBI's taxonomy places the organism in Eukaryota, Metazoa, Chordata, Actinopteri, Siluriformes, Ictaluridae.